AUUGAACGCUGGCGGCAGGCCUAACACAUGCAAGUCGAGCGGAUGAAGGGAGCUUGCUCCUGGAUUCAGCGGCGGACGGGUGAGUAAUGCCUAGGAAUCUGCCUGGUAGUGGGGGAUAACGUCCGGAAACGGGCGCUAAUACCGCAUACGUCCUGAGGGAGAAAGUGGGGGAUCUUCGGACCUCACGCUAUCAGAUGAGCCUAGGUCGGAUUAGCUAGUUGGUGGGGUAAAGGCCUACCAAGGCGACGAUCCGUAACUGGGCUGAGAGGAUGAUCAGUCACACUGGAACUGAGACACGGUCCAGACUCCUACGGGAGGCAGCAGUGGGGAAUAUUGGACAAUGGGCGAAAGCCUGACCCAGCCAUGCCGCGUGUGUGAAGAAGGUCUUCGGAUUGUAAAGCACUUUAAGUUGGGAGGAAGGGAAGUAAGUUAAUACCUUGCUGUUUUGACGUUACCAACAGAAUAAGCACCGGCUAACUUCGUG
RNAcentral lists this ribosomal RNA (484 nucleotides) under uncultured bacterium. Its description in RNAcentral is "partial 16S ribosomal RNA". It matches the Rfam family "Bacterial small subunit ribosomal RNA", at positions 30 to 507 of the family's 1533-position model. The record is from RNAcentral.